Molecule: long non-coding RNA, 277 nt
Organism: Nilaparvata lugens (brown planthopper)
Lineage: Eukaryota; Metazoa; Arthropoda; Insecta; Hemiptera; Delphacidae
Exons: 2
Source: RefSeq, a predicted model, not a curated record
CCAGCUGCGAGUGCGAGUGCCAGACUGUGAAACUGAUAAUUGAAGCAGAAAGCGAAUAUUGUCAAUGCUACCAAGAAAACAAAACAUAAUGAAAAAACAGGCUGGUACUGUUAUUCUUUGGAAUUAAAUGCGAAUUUUAUCUCCAAAAUAAUUAUAUUAUAAUGGUGUGGAGAAUGGAAGAUAAUUAAUUGCAAUCAAUCGCGUUCAAUAUCAAGGACUCAGGUACAUUUCUAAGAAAAAUGUAUUCUAAAUACCAUUUUAUUUCUUACUAUCAUUA